CCCAAAAUGAAUUUCACGGGUGAACCUUGAGACUUGCAAUGAAUGAGUUAAUUUUCAGCUCAAUAUCGGUACAAGCAGCGCACAUCGCAGCGCGGUGCUGCUGUAGCUUUAAGAACACGAAAACAAGACACACGCACAGCCAGGAGGGAGGUGAUUUGGUGAUUACUGUCUCAAAUGAUCGCCGAUAAAGUGCGCAAAUCCCACUCAAGCAGAAACUUGCCCAGGGUGAGGAGGGAGGUGUCCAUGUGCCAAAGCACCUGUUCAGAUGGAGGGGUCAGUUUCAACAGCCAGUUCUACCACUACUACAGUGUGACGAAGGCAUGGGCAGAUGCUGAGGCCUCAGCCUUCCUCAAAUUCCAAGCAUUCUCAGGAAAGCGGAGGCACAGAACAGGAGGGGCCUAGGUCGGCCAGAGUUUCCCCGGUUCACUGCGCACCAGCAACCCCUGUAGAGUGACUGAGUGUUCGUGGGUGUAGACCGACGGAUCGAAAUGGGACUACAGCCACUGGAACAAAAAUGAGCCCAACAACCAAGGAGUUGAAAACUGUUUGCACUCCAACUGGGGAGAUAAUUGUGUCUGAAUGAAACCCAUUCCUUCUCUUUCUGUAGCUGGUCUUAGUUUACAGGGAGUCUUUAGUGUUAUGGUUAGCUUUGACGGCUCUGGUGAAAUUGAGUGUGUCUUUCUGCUUUGACAUCCAGAAAAUGCAGCUUGUCAUGUCUUAUGAGAGCUUUACUCUAGAUGUUCAAGCCAGAGGGGCACAUUCAAUGUUUAUUUCACACUGACACUUGAUGAGUGUGUCCCCAAAAUGUCUUGAACCCUACAAAUAGAAUAAUUUAUUGAACCUUGGUUUCAUGAUUGGUUAUGAGAUCAGUUAAAACGUCAUCUUGUAUUUUCAUUUUUCCGCUCUUUUAAAAACAAUUUGAAUGAAACUUGUUUUAUUUUUUGGAGCUUCUGUCAUUUUGAAAGGAUUUGUCUAUGACACUGCAUGAUAAAAUGUCACGGUUUUUAAUAGGGUGAUUUCGAGUUAACUGCAAGUGUGGAGUGCAGUUAAUUUUUACUUACAGAAACAUUUUUAUAAAUUAUUAUCCUUGAAUGGUGACAUCAAAGAAAUGGCAACGUCUUAGGCACAAGGACCUAUUUUCCGAUAAAUAUGUAUUUGUUUUUCGCGUUUGUGGCUCAGAUGUACGUCACAGUGAAUAGGUCCAUCUUACACCACAUGAUCAGGGUCCCUGCCACGAAUAUAAAUACACUAUUUUUUUGCACAUUUUUCAAUUGUUUUUUUGGUUGCUUAUGGUACCUUUUGUAUAUGUGGCCUUAAUUUCUUUAUGUAUUAUCCAAUUUAUUAAUUAAAUAAAUAAAUCCAUGUUCCCUACAUGUUUAAGUUUCGUUGUACACUGUCAGAU
Molecule: long non-coding RNA, 1402 nt
Organism: Polyodon spathula (Mississippi paddlefish)
Lineage: Eukaryota; Metazoa; Chordata; Actinopteri; Acipenseriformes; Polyodontidae
Exons: 4
Source: RefSeq, a predicted model, not a curated record